RNAcentral lists this ribosomal RNA (397 nucleotides) under uncultured bacterium. RNAcentral's name for it is "partial 16S ribosomal RNA". It matches the Rfam family "Bacterial small subunit ribosomal RNA", at positions 523 to 918 of the family's 1533-position model. The record is from RNAcentral.
AUACGUAGGUGGCGAGCGUUGUCCGGAAUUACUGGGCGUAAAGGAUGCGUAGGUGGAUAUUUAAGUGGGAUGUGAAAUCCCCGGGCUCAACCCGGGAACUGCAUUCCAAACUGGGUAUCUAGAGUGCAGGAGAGGAAAGCGGAAUUCCUAGUGUAGCGGUGAAAUGCGUAGAUAUUAGGAGGAACACCAGUGGCGAAGGCGGCUUUCAGGCCUGUAACUGACAUGGAGGCCUGAAAGCGUGGGUAGAAAACAGGAUUAGAUCCCCUGGGGUCCCACGCCGUAAACGAUGGGUACUAGGUGUAGGAGGUAACGACCCUUUCUGUGCCGUCGUUAAACCAAUAAGUACCCCGCCUGGGGAGUACGGUCGCAAGACUAAAACUCAAAUGAAUUGACGGGG